This 371-nucleotide ribosomal RNA is filed under the name uncultured bacterium. RNAcentral describes it as "bacterial SSU rRNA". It matches the Rfam family "Bacterial small subunit ribosomal RNA", at positions 1 to 403 of the family's 1533-position model. The record is from RNAcentral.
UAGUGAGUUUGGAUCCUGGCUCAGAGCGAACGCUGGCGGCAGGCCUAACACAUGCAAGUCGAACGGACCUUUCGGGGUUAGUGGCGGACGGGUGAGUAACGCGUGAGAAUCUGCCUUCUGGUCGGGGACAACCACUGGGAAACGGUGGCUAAUACCGGAUAUGCCUAUGGGUGAAAGAUUAAUUGCCAGAAGAAGAGCUCGCGUCUGAUUAGCUAGUUGGAGAGGUAAAGGCUCACCAAGGCAUCGAUCAGUAGCUGGUCUGAGAGGACGACCGGCCACACUGGGACUGAGACACGGCCCAGACUCCUACGGGGAGCAGCAGUGGGGAACUUUUCGCAAUGGGCGAAAGCCUGACGGAGCAAUACCGCGUG